This is a long non-coding RNA of Glycine soja, 335 nucleotides long. RefSeq lists it as uncharacterized. The record is from RefSeq and is a predicted model, not a curated record. NCBI's taxonomy places the organism in Eukaryota, Viridiplantae, Streptophyta, Magnoliopsida, Fabales, Fabaceae. The transcript has 2 exons.
UGAGGAAUAUUAUAAUCAGAUCGCCAUCAUCGUUUUCUCGCGGGUGACAUCAUCAUGGCUUGCUCGUUUUCUCGCGGGUCUCUGCUUCCUCUCGCCAUCAUCGUUUCCUUAGUAUUUCACUGAUCCUAGACCAUUGGAACCAGAAAGAUUGAAGGCGUUUCGCAACCAGUGGGCAAAGUACUAUUUGAAAGUGAAAAAUGAAACUUAGGAUGUUUAGACAAUCUUGUAAUUGUAGUUUAUAUUUACUUACUUAAUUUACAAUUCAUGUCUCAACAUUAAAUAUGUUUUAAAUUCAUAGUAAUUAGUAAAUUUCUUAUUGAAUUUUCUGGUAAAAA